Ictalurus punctatus (channel catfish) is the source of this 2389-nucleotide long non-coding RNA. RefSeq lists it as uncharacterized. The record is from RefSeq and is a predicted model, not a curated record. NCBI's taxonomy places the organism in Eukaryota, Metazoa, Chordata, Actinopteri, Siluriformes, Ictaluridae. The transcript is spliced from 3 exons.
CUGUCCACAAGGUCGGAGACAGAAGCACAUAGUUGCUUUUGGACGUAUGUAUUAAAACUGAUUAAGGGUUGGUGUUGGAGAAAAGACGUGUGUUUCAAAGCUAACAGAAGAUAAACGGAGAUUCGCAGGGUUUCUUCAAGAUGUCCUCUGGAGCUGAGGGUCCACAGACCAACCCGAGUAUAGCUGGCUUAAUUCAGAAUCCUUUUCAUGCUGUUCAUGAGCCUCCACCUGUAGAGCCACCACUCUGGACUUAUUACAACAAACCCAUAAUUCUUUCAGUUAUUGGAGGAGUGGUGUUAUGCACAGGUAUUGCAUUGUACCUACUUGGUGAAUAUGGGGUAUUCAUUGUGCCACCUGGCAUGGGACCUGUUUGUCUGUGUGUUGGCAUCAUGUUCAUUGUAGUUGCACUCGUGUUGUUGCCCAUCAUUAAGGACAAACUGAGGCGUCGAGGGCCAAAGACGCGCCGCACGUUUCAUAUGGAACAAGUGUGACCGAGUGAUCAGUGCCGGGCCACACUGAUCUGUUGACCAACAGUAAUUUACAUAUAAAGCAGAAACUGAAUUUACAGGAUGUAGUAGUUGAGCACAAAGUGGCUGAUUAUCAUGUAUUUAUUUCAGUGUGUAAAAGUGAGUAAAGUGUGUAAAAAUGUGUGCCCAAACAGGAAUGCUUUAUUUCUUCAUUUAUCAAAAACAAAGGUUACAUUUUUACUUGAAUCUUCUUGCAUUUAAUUGAAAAACAUUUGCAUUUAAUGUAACAAGAUUUGAGACUGUAGCCUAUACAUAUCAUUCUGGGGGAACCCAGAAAGUAUCACUGGAUAUCUAAAGAACCCAUUUUAUGCUCUCGAUUGUUUAUUAUUUCACUUUUUUUGGUAUAUGGUUCAAUGAAUCAAGUAUUUGUAGUAUAAGAAACGUUUCAGACUGUGCCUACAGCUGUAAUCUAUCGGUUAAAAAUUGGCAUGUUUGCAUGCAGGGAGAUGAUGCCAUAAGCAAGAUAAAGGUGUAAUUUGUUCAGCUGAUCCUUGCCAAAGGUUUAUCCUUUAGAGUGUACUUUGACCCCUUUCUCCCCCAGAGUGACUCCGUGGUGUACCGCUAACACCUGUCACCCAUUCUACCCUAAAAAAUAUUUUUAGUGGAGAAAGAAAGUGUCAUAGCCAUGGAGAAAAGUGGCCGGGGAGUGGGUCGGUGCAAGUUCUCAUUUUGGUUUGCUGUAUUUCAUGACGUAUUGGGACUUCUGAUCCUCUUGUCUGGUGUGUUUUGGGAUAUCUUCUUCAAUGACUUUCUCAUCUACUCUGGAGCUGUGGUUAUUUUUCUCAGCCUUAUCUGGUGGGUGUUUUGGUACACUGGAAACAUCGAGGUGCCUCCUGCGGAGUUGGAGGACGACAUCACUUUGUAUAAAAGGACCAAGGGAAUUUCUGGAGUGGUGCGCAAAGUCUCUGAUCGUCUCUCCAGUGGACUUAGUUCGUUCAGGAAAAGUGGGAGAGUCAGUGCCCCGAGUGGGAACUCGUGUCAAAACGGCACCAACAGCACAAAUAUCUGCAUGAUCUCCUAUACAAACACUCAAGCACUGAGACCAUCCGACAACCUAAACAGAGAACCGUUAUCCAUAUAAUCCACAGCAGUGUGAAGAACGCAGCCUCUGGACAGCUGUGCCCUGUCAAUCAAGCAAAUGAUUGGACUGAUGUGUUGGAAAUAUAUAUUUCUAAUUUAAUCCGGGUUGUUUCUCUGUUUCGUAUUUAUGAUUCUAUGUUAAAUGUUCUAUUUAACAUAAUAUUGUCUGGAAUAUAUUUGUUAUAUGAUAAAGUGCAUACCACAAUAAAACUUGAACUUAAGUUUAACUUUAAUAUUUUGUAAGCUACAGUCUAACCCUUUGACAAAAAAAGGAAGAAUUUAAUUUACAACAGCAAGACAUUUCAUGUGUGUCUUUUUUUUUCUCUUAUUAACACAUGUAAGUAAAAAUAAACAAAUAGUGCAUGUUAAUACAUCAUUAGUGAAAAAUGCAAAAUUAAAUUAGUUCAACAGUUCGCAUUUCCUUUUUUCUUAGCUUUUGGAUUGUCUCAGUUGUAACACUAGACCCACCUUCUCCUACCCCACCUGACUGCUUGCUCAGUCGUCUUCUCAUAUCCGUAUUCUUAUAACUCCGUUCAUACAUGGCCUUAUUCAAAUCAAGUGUGAAGACUGAGAGGGUCAUGACACAACUUCUUUUGGCAAAAUGUUCUGUUGUCUUUUAAAAAAAUAAUUUAAAAAUGUCUAAUUCUGUUUCUUGUAGAUAAUAUGAUACUGUUAUGGUAAUGUACAAAAAAACAAGUGAUGUAAACUCGACUGUAUUGUAAUAUAACCUCAGCACUGAGUUCAGCUGGUUAAAAAUGGGCAUAAAACAAUGAGUGUGAAUA